GGGAAUAUUGCACAAUGGGCGAAAGCCUGAUGCAGCAACGCCGCGUGAAGGAAGAAGGAAUUCGUUCUGUAAACUUCUGUUAUAAAGGAAGAAAGACGGAUGGAGGAAAUGACAUCCGAGUGACGGUACUUUAUGAGAAAGCCACGGCUAACUACGUGCCAGCAGCCGCGGUAAUACGUAGGUGGCAAGCGUUGUCCGGAUUUACUGGGUGUAAAGGGCGUGCAGCCGGAGAGACAAGUCAGAUGUGAAAUCCACGGGCUCAACCCGUGAACUGCAUUUGAAACUGUUUCCCUUGAGUGUCGGAGAGGUAAUCGGAAUUCCUUGUGUAGCGGUGAAAUGCGUAGAUAUAAGGAAGAACACCAGUGGCGAAGGCGGAUUACUGGACGAUAACUGACGGUGAGGCGCGAAAGCGUGGGGAGCA
This 421-nucleotide ribosomal RNA is filed under the name uncultured bacterium. RNAcentral describes it as "bacterial SSU rRNA". It matches the Rfam family "Bacterial small subunit ribosomal RNA", at positions 357 to 770 of the family's 1533-position model. The record is from RNAcentral.